RNAcentral lists this ribosomal RNA (142 nucleotides) under uncultured eukaryote. RNAcentral's name for it is "partial 18S ribosomal RNA". It matches the Rfam family "Eukaryotic small subunit ribosomal RNA", at positions 1299 to 1458 of the family's 1831-position model. The record is from RNAcentral.
UGGUGGAGUGAUUUGUCUGGUUAAUUCCGUUAACGAACGAGACCCCUGCCUGCUAAAUAGCCAAAUGAGUGAUUUUUCACUGAUUGUAGCUUCUUAGAGGGACGUGCAUUUUAUUAGAUGCAGGAGGAUAGGGGCAAUAACA